Molecule: ribosomal RNA, 258 nt
Filed under: uncultured bacterium
Lineage: Bacteria
Description: partial 16S ribosomal RNA
Rfam family: Bacterial small subunit ribosomal RNA
Source: RNAcentral
UACGUAGGGUGCAAGCGUUGUCCGGAAUUAUUGGGCGUAAAGAGCUCGUAGGCGCUUGUCGCGUCGGCUGUGAAAACCUGGGGCUCGAACCCCGGGCCUGCAGCCGAUACGGGCAAGCUAGAAUUCGGUAGGGGAGACUGGAAUUCCUGGGUGUAGCGGUAGUGAAAUGCGCAGAUAUCAGGAGGAACACCGGUGGCGAAGGCGGUUCUCUGGGCAUGUCCUGACGCUGGAGGAGCGAAAGUGUGGGGAGCGAACAGG